This is a small nucleolar RNA of Megalops cyprinoides (Indo-Pacific tarpon), 132 nucleotides long. RefSeq annotates it as small nucleolar RNA SNORA17. The transcript has a single exon. Lineage: Eukaryota; Metazoa; Chordata; Actinopteri; Elopiformes; Megalopidae. The record is from RefSeq and is a predicted model, not a curated record.
ACUGCCCCAAGAGGCGUUGCAGUGCGGCUGAGUGUCGUUGCUGUGUCAUUUGGUGGCAGAGAGUAAAGGGCUAUGUCUACGCUCAGUACCCAGAAUGCAGUGGGUGCUCAGAAUGAUUGAUAGCCCAACAGA